AUUGUUGGUUGCUUAACGUCCAGUGGCAAAUAUUUCAUGCAUAUUCAGGACGAGAACAAGUUAACAAUAAAUACAAUAGGUAGGUCUAGUCAUAAUAGAGGCCGUUCGGGAUGAUAGUCGGGGAAAUUUGGACUGCCACUGGAAAAUGAGGUUAUAUUGGAUAGGAACAGAAAUUUUGUCUUGCAACAGGUCACCUACGGACCCCUCAAAGAGUUGUUGCAA
RNAcentral lists this long non-coding RNA (222 nucleotides) under Mytilus galloprovincialis (Mediterranean mussel). The record is from RNAcentral. Lineage: Eukaryota; Metazoa; Mollusca; Bivalvia; Mytilida; Mytilidae.